UACGGAGGGUGCAAGCGUUGCUCGGAAUUAUUGGGCGUAAAGGGUAGGUAGGUGGUCUUAUUUGUCUGGGGUGAAAGCCUUGAGCUUAACUCAAGAAGUGCCCCAGAAACGGUGAGACUAGAGUCUUGGAGAGGGUCGUGGAAUUCCCGGUGUAGCGGUGAAAUGCGUAGAGAUCGGGAGGAACACCAGAGGCGAAGGCGGCGACCUGGACAAGUACUGACACUCAAAUACGAAAGCGUGGGGAGCAAACAGG
RNAcentral lists this ribosomal RNA (253 nucleotides) under uncultured bacterium. RNAcentral describes it as "partial 16S ribosomal RNA". It matches the Rfam family "Bacterial small subunit ribosomal RNA", at positions 524 to 776 of the family's 1533-position model. The record is from RNAcentral.